Molecule: ribosomal RNA, 487 nt
Filed under: uncultured bacterium
Lineage: Bacteria
Description: partial 16S ribosomal RNA
Rfam family: Bacterial small subunit ribosomal RNA
Source: RNAcentral
GAUGAACGCUAGCGAUAGGCUUAACACAUGCAAGUCGAGGGGCAGCACAAGGUAGCUUGCUAUCUGGGUGGCGACCGGCGCACGGGUGCGUAACGCGUAUGCAACUUGCCCUAUACAGGAGGAUAACCCGUCGAAAGACGGACUAAUACUGCGUAUGCUCACAACUUGGCAUCAAGUGGUGAGGAAAGAAAUUCGGUAUAGGAUAGGCAUGCGUCCCAUUAGCUUGUUGGUGAGGUAACGGCUCACCAAGGCAACGAUGGGUAGGGGAACUGAGAGGUUUAUCCCCCACACUGGUACUGAGACCCGGACCAGACUCCUACGGGAGGCAGCAGUGAGGAAUAUUGGUCAAUGGGCGCGAGCCUGAACCAGCCAAGUCGCGUGAAGGAUGACUGUCUUAUGGAUUGUAAACUUCUUUUAUACGGGAAUAACAAGAGUCACGUGUGACUCCCUGCAUGUACCGUAUGAAUAAGCAUCGGCUAACUCCGUG